UACGUAGGUGGCAAGCGUUGUCCGGAUUUACUGGGCGUAAAGCGUGCGCAGGCGGUUCUACAAGUCCGAUGUGAAAGCCCCGGGCUCAACCUGGGAAUGGCAUUGGAAACUGGCGAGCUUGAGUGUGGCAGAGGGGGGUGGAAUUCCGCGUGUAGCAGUGAAAUGCGUAGAGAUGCGGAGGAACACCGAUGGCGAAGGCAGCCCCCUGGGCUGACACUGACGCUCAGGCACGAAAGCGUGGGGAGCAAACAGG
This 253-nucleotide ribosomal RNA is filed under the name uncultured bacterium. RNAcentral's name for it is "partial 16S ribosomal RNA". It matches the Rfam family "Bacterial small subunit ribosomal RNA", at positions 524 to 776 of the family's 1533-position model. The record is from RNAcentral.